This 15137-nucleotide long non-coding RNA is filed under the name Coffea arabica (coffee). RNAcentral describes it as "long non-coding RNA (CARA_LNC008078)". Lineage: Eukaryota; Viridiplantae; Streptophyta; Magnoliopsida; Gentianales; Rubiaceae. The record is from RNAcentral.
UUUUUUUUUUUUUUUUUUUUUACCAGUGACAAAAGACUUAGUCUAUAGCCCUUAGAGCCUUUUGACGCGAACUCCAACAUUUGACAGAUGGAGGAGCCCGGUUACUCAGCUCCAAUCGCUACAGGACCACGCACUCAUAGCAACUACUACCUUUUGACGCGAAAAUCGACACUUUAGGUGAAGAUUCCCGGUUACUCAGUAGUAAUCACUAGCGGAGUACAGUCAACUCUUAUUUACAACCAUACAGCACAAUAACUAAAAAUAAAAAAUAACAGCAGCCAGCCUCAAAUUUCCAAAUAUGGAGAACCAAAAUUAAUAACUGGACCAAUUCACAUGAAAAAUGCCAACUAUCAUUCUUUAUGCCUAGAAAAGUUAACCAAAAAUUAGAAAAGUCAAGCAAUUACUGAUAUUCACCAGAGGGAUGUUCCUGAACUCAACCACAUCAACUUGAUACCUUUUUAUUAAUAAACUUGGCAAUAGCAGAAUUAGAGACAACAAUCCAGUGUCAAACUUGGUAUUCAUAUGAAGACUGACCACUAGAAAAAGAAAAGAAAAGAAAACAAACGAACAAGGAGAUAAAUAUCAAACUAAAACAAAGGAAAAACCUCUAGAAACUAAAAACAAAAAUACUAGCACCCCAACUGAUCCCCCCACACCUAAUUCACACAUUGCCCUCAAUGUGAUAAAUAAACAAUAAUAGUAAGCAAAAGAGCAACGGUACUUCCCUGAAAUCACGGGGACCAUGGCGGGGCCACAGCAGUGAGGGAGGCGGGGAAUGGUUGAGUUGGGUUGGAGUAGGCUAAGGUCAAGAGAUUCUGGACCUAGAAGAGAACCUUGAUCUCACUAUUGCCGCUAACAAGUAACCCAAUCAAUAGAAACAAAAUUGCCAACAUAUAGAGGAACAAGUAAAUGCAGAUCAGUAGAAAUCCAUAUCCUCUAAUGAAGUCAACAAUCAACCCAAUAAGCACAGGUAGCUCCCAAUUCAAAAGGGUAGUGCAUAAUAAAUGGCUCACCAAAUUAGCAAUUUAAAGCCCUGAGCAAUUUAAACCCAACAAGUCAAUCAGUACCAAAAAACCACUCCAAACAAUGUAACAGUUAAACUCCACAGGCAAAGGACGUCCAACCAAGUUCACUCAAGCAAACUAGGAGCAAUGCGACUGAUUAAACAAAGCAACGAAUUUCAGCAAAUGGACUCAUAGCCACCCAAAAUCCCAACAAAUGCCCUAAAGAUUUAGCAAUUGAAAUCAAUAGGUAAAAUACUCCAGCAAGUCAAUUAGACGCCACCAACAGCAAUAAUCAAUGGAAGUGGCACAGUAGCCUUCCAAUUCAACAAACAAAUGAAGAAAAUACCCAACCAAAGGCACUUCAAGGGACGCAAGACAGAAAUCAGCAAAGUAGAACUCAAGUGAUACCAAAAAUAACCUCGACAAAGCAGUGAAUUCAACCAAUUUGAAUACGUAGAAUACGGUCAGAAAUGCCUCCCAAAGAUCAACCGAGAGCGACAAAAAAUUGCCCACCCAAAAUCUGUCCAAAUGGUUCCAAUUGGAUAAGAAAUUACACAACUCAACCAACCGAAAUUAGCAAAUGAGCCAAGAAACCGUCAAAACCAGCAAUAGUAGUUCAAAUUUUGGACUACAACUAAAUCAAAACGCUUGGCAGUUUUCGAUCAAGUAGCCCACCAACUAGAACCAAGUGGCAACAAAUGUAGUUAUAAUACCCCAACCAGUACCACUGGUGCAUCCCACAGAUAAUGAAGCAACAUAAACGGCCACCCCAAUCAAGAAAAUGGAAACUUCAAGCACCUAAGGACUAGGCGAAAGUCUCAACAAAGCAACUAUUACAAACAAUAAGCAGUGGUGGUCCGAAUAUUAGUCAAUGCAGAAAUCAUGCAACUCAAAAUCUCGGCAAGUACUCCAAUGAGCUUAGCAAUUGAAAUCACAAAACCGAAUACUCCCCAAACAAGGUACUUAGAGUCAACCAAUGGCAAUACUAAUUCAACAAACCAACCCAGAAAAUUACCCAACUAAGGGUGCAAUAGGGAUCUCCGAACACAGCUCCAAACACCAACAAUUGAACAAAUAGAAACUAAACAGCCCAAAAAUCAAUUAAGUAGAUAAACACAUAAAAACUUCACUCAAAAACUAAUUAAACAUGGAAACAAUGAAAUUUCCCCAAAUUACUUCAGAUUCCACCCCAAAAUUGGACAAAUAGUGUCAACCAACCACAGAUGAUAUCACAGCACUCAAAUCAACCACAAAAAUGUCUGGCCUCAGCUAACAAUUUAAAAAUCUGUCCUCAGCUAAUUAGAACUAAUAAUCUGGCUUCAGCUAAUUAGUGACAGUAAAUUAAAGAAAGAGAUCACCGGAGGUUUUGACUGGCAGUGGGUGAAGUAGAGAGCCGGGGUGACAACAGAGGGAGAGGAAAGCGCGUGGCGAGCACGCGCGUUGGAGAUGGCGGCUGCUGCUGGGAGUUGCGCCAAGAGCAGGGUGGGCGCUGACGGAGGAGGAGCUCGGGUGCGCACUGCUGCUCUGGUGCAGGAGGCGUGGCGCGCAGAGGUUGCUGAUGGCAGCUGCGCGAUGGUGGUCCGCGCACGAAGGCUGCGCGAUGGAGCUGGUGGAGGCUGUCCUGGUCGCGCGCAGGGGCGUGCUUGAGCUGCAAGUGGCGGCGCGCAGAUGCUGUGCGCCUGACUGCUUGGUGCGCAGGUGGCGAGCUGCUGGCGUGCGAGGCAGCCGUGAGCUCUGCAGGAUGGCCGCUUCUGGGCCGCUCUGGACUGCUGCUGCUGGAGCUGGAGCUGGACGCGGAGGAGGCUGGUGAGCGGAGGGGUUGCCUGCGAGGGGGGAUCGCGCGAGGUGUUGGGCGGCGCGCGCGCGGUCUGCGCGCACGGGCUGCGAUCCGUGACUGCGGCUGAGUUGCGCAGAAGGCGGCGCGCAACUGAUGGUUCGCGCGCACGGCAGCGCGCAAAAGCUGCGCGCGGCGGCGUGGAGAUCGCGCAGCUUCCUGAGCUGGCGGCUGCUGCUGGCAGCUGGUGCUCUGGCCGCUCGACUGGGGUGGCGUGCGGCGCGAUGUGGAGCGGCGGCGGACAGCAAGCGAGAAGCGGCGGCCCAGGGAGCAAGGAAAAAGAAGAAAGAAAAGAAAGAAGAAGAAGAAAGAAAAAGAAAAAGAAAAAGAAAAAAAAGAAUAGGUCAACCGAUGCUUCCCUCUUCAUUUUCUCUCUUUUUUUUUUUUUAAACCAAGAGCAUUUUCGUCUUUUUCACUCUUUUUUUUUUUUUUUUUUUAGGCGUGACCAUCUGGCGUGGACACGUUUAACUGCUAUAGAGUCCGCAGAACCUGCACAAAAAUUUCUUUCCUUCAGGCGUGACCACCUGGCGUGGGCACGUCUAACUGCUAAUUUCCUGCCACCAAACAUCAAACUAUUAAUUGACACUAACACUUAACUAAAACUUCAAAAAUGCAUGAAAACUGAAAAAAAUAGUCUUGGGUUGCCUCCCAAGUAGCGCCUUUCUUUAAUGUCUUUGGCUAGACAUGCUAUGCUUUGCUCAUGGAGGAUAAAAUCUUGUGGCUCGUUUCAAUGCUUCAUCUUCAACGUAAUCCUGAUAACCCUCAUAGAUGGAGUAAUCCUUGAGCACUCGAGUUACGGGCUUCCAUGGACUAGUGAAUGGCGCCAAACGAGUCGAUGAUAAUUUGCAUUCUCCAUUCACUCCUCCCUCACUUGCAUUUGCUGGUUUGAGAUAUUUUGCCAUCAUGACUCUUAAUUUAUUCCUGGCAUGAAAUUCAAAAUCGUCUGGUAUAAUAAAAUCAAUCUCACUAACAGGAAUUAACGAAUAAGAGUCAGGAAAAUAUUGAUCAAGGAAUGGAGGAGAUGUCACCGCAUUUGGAGAUAGUUCACUGGAUUCAUUCACUUGAACCAUUUGAUGUUGGGGUCUCAAUUCUUGCUCUUUAACUUUCUUUUCAACUACAUCUUUAGAUUCUUCUUCUCGAGACUCUUGCAGUACCAUGUCAUUUGUCAGAAUAAUUGCACUCUCAUCUUCCUCAUGGUCGAUAAUAGUCGGUGAGGGCAAUUCUUCAUAAACUGGAGAAAUCAAUUUGCUCGUUUUAAAUGCCCAUUCACGCCUUGCUUCUUUCAUCUCUUCACUCAUCCUUUGUGUCUCCUGCUGAAUUCGAGAUACAUUAGCAGCUAGUAAUUCUAUCAUCUCUUCAAGAGACAUACCUGACACGGAUGAUGGUUCUUGAGACUCAUACUGCUGAAAAUUCAUUGGCUGCUGAAAAUUCAUUGGCCCUGUUGUAUAAUCAUAACUGGAGUUAUCCCACCAUCCUUGAUCAUACCCGUUUGGAUUAGAGUUAUACCACGUUUGAGACCAGGGUGAAAAAUCUCCAUAAUUAUUGAGUGGGACACUCAGAUUAUCUUGAUAUUCGGGGCACAUACUGGUUGAAUGAUCCCUGGCAAAACAAAUUUUACAGGUUGCAGCAGCCAUUCUUUCUCUAAUAGAGUUUACUGCCUCUUUAUAUGCAAACUUAGCAAAAAUACUAGUCUCAUCGCCUUCCCCGGAAACAAAAUCCAGUCUAUCACCAAAAUAUGGAGUGUUAGCAGCCAUAAAAAAUAAAAAAUAAAAAGAAAAAAAAUAAGAGAAAAAUAAAUUAAAAAAAAUGAAAACAAGAUAAACUCAAAAAGAAACAAAUUAAUCAGGCACCAGUCCCCGGCAACGGCGCCAAAAAUUGACAGGCGUCAAACCUGUGCAAUAAUAAAUACUUGCUUAAAUAAAAUACAAAUUCUGUAUAUAGCGGUAAGCAGGGUCGAAUCCACAGGGACUGGGGAUAAUUUAAUUUCUUUUCAAGUUCCAGAUAUGGGGGGUUUUUGAAAAUGAUAGUAACUAAAUUACUUGGAAUAAAUUAAAAUAAAAUAAAAUAAUUACAACUCAAAUAACUAAUUAUCACAAUAAAAAUAAUAAUGGACGAACUCUAGCCAAGAGACAACUUCGGAGAUGGUUCACUUAAUUUGAUCACAGAUGCAAGGAUUAUUCCAGUUACUAUCUGAUAAAUUAGUUAUAAUUGUCAUACACGCGAUAAACAACCAACUCUUCCUCAAUUUGUCGAUAGCCAAGGUACGACCGUUGACUAUUUCUCUAAUCAGGAAAUAACCCUAGGUACGACCAUAGAAGUUCAAUUCCCUAAUUGCAUGAAUAAUUAGAAGAGCCUAAUUCUAACCAAUCAACACGCUACGAGGGUCUCUUUAAGUUAGCCUGUCUAUCUCCCUGACACAAACCCAAUCAUGCCAGUUGCCACCAGUUUAGAAUAAUUAAACAAUUACGGAUUUAACUACCCUAAUUGGCUUCAGGUUAUUGAAUUAAUCUAGAAUCCGGGCCCUGGAUAAUCGAAUAAUAAAACAACCAUAUGAACAUAAAGCAGAAGAUAGACAAAUACCAGUGAAUAAUGAAAAUAAAUAAAAACUAAUUCGAUCUCACAAAUUUAGUAGAACCAAAUCCUUCGUUGUUCUUGGCCAGACAAACUUAGCCACGCCUCAUGAGAAAAUCUUCAAGUAAUUUCAUUGAGGUCCAGGCCAUCAAAAGAGCCAUGAAAGAAACGAAACUAAAACUAUGCUAAAAACUGUCUAAACUAAAACUAUUGAUUGAUAAGCUUUCUCUGCACGUUUGUCUCCCUUUUUAAAGCCAAAAGGAAGUCUAAUGCUAUCUCUAGUGGUCCCCACACCAAAUUCAAAGUCUUGUACGUUUCUUUUCCUAGAGUCCAGAUGACUCAUGCUUCUUAUCCGUGGUCCCCGCACAUGUGGACAAAGACUCCCAAGUACUUGUUGUUCCAAGUCUCUCUACGUUGCUUUCUUUGAAAAGCCCAAAUGACUAAAUGCCUUGCACUAGCUUGUGGUCCCCACCAAUUCAAGGACCUAAAGGUUGAAGCCCUUAGAAGUCUGCAUUUUUCCAUACAAGUCCCUCCUUUUUGGUAAUUUUCUGCUUCACUCCUGAAAUUGAUUCCAAAUACCAAAUAUGAGUAAAUAUCAGCAAUUAACACAAUAUUUGUCAGGGAUAGAAAGGGAAAUCAAUAAUAAAUUUACUAACAAAUUAUACCCUAUCAAAUACUAAAUCAAAAAAUGUCCCCAUGUCCCUAAGAACAAAAUUCAUCAUUGCUCUAGCACUCUUAGAAAUAGAGACAUAAUCUGCCUUCAUAGUAAAACUAUAAUCAAUAAGUAAAUAAAAAAGAGAACCAAUGAGUUUUUUAAUUAUUAGACAUAAUAGUCUAUUCUUUAUCUUCCAACUCUCAAUUUCAUUUUUUCCCUAUAUCACUACGACCUUUUUCAUCUUCUACUAAUUUGAUAAUAAAAUCCACAGUCUGCACCUUGUUAAUCUGGUAACUUCAAUUGGCUAACAUAUGUAAAGAGUAAAGCUUUUUUUUUUUUUUUUAAAGCAAGGGUCUCAAAUUUUAUAGUAAGAAAGAGAUAGGAAGACAAAAAAGUAUAGAUAAAUUUUAGAGAUGAUAAAAAAUUGAUUGCGGUGUGGUUGGUAACAAUGGAGUGCGGUAUUUGAUGAGAGGAAGAAGCGGUUUAGGAGAAAAGAGAGAAGAGUAUGAAAGAGAGAUGGAGGGAGGGAGGAAAAGAUAAAAAUUAGAAAAUUGAUAGGGAUGUUCUAUAAAAUUAAGAAAUGGCACGUAGAAUAAUAAGAAAUAUUUUUCGGAUUUAAAUGCCGCUUUAUGAAUUAACUAUUAAGUUGAGGACACCAAAGGAGGUUUAUGUAAUUAUUGAAACCUCGAAGGAGUUGAGUGAAGUUGUUAGAAACCUCAAGGAAGGUUUCUGAAAUCAUCCCUUAUUCAUAGAGCAGAACAAAUAAAAGAAAUAAAAAAGGGGUGAAGAAACAUUUUUUCAGAUCUGUGAUGGAGUAUAACAUAACUAUGUAGAAAAUAAGUCUCUUCUCCUUUACCAAAAUUUGGAGUCUAGGGACUUGUGAAUUUAUGUCAUACAUAUAUAUAUAUAUAUAUAUAUAUAUAUAUAUAUAUAUAUAUAUAUAUAUAUAUAUAUAUAUAUAUAUCUUUCUUCUCAGAAACAAAACUCUUCUUCCUUGGGAGGAAGACCAAUUGGUCUUCGUUCGCCCUAUGUUUUUUUUUUUUAUUAUUAUUUGUAAUAAAGUCCUUCCUAAGUUUUUCUUCUUUUCUACGGAUUCUUAGUAAGAGUUCUGGUUAUUUUUAUAUUUCUUUUAUUGAUAUAAGUUUUUUCCAAUUUAUAUGUUAGAUUGGGAUUUCUUAUAUUUAUCUCGUCAAAUCUCACAUUAACACCUAGGGGAAAGCAAGCAGUGCGAUUUUUUUUUUUUCGUUUACGAAGCAACAAUGAGAAUAUUAAGUAGCGUGGUUAGAAACAUACACAGAUGAUCUCAGAAUUAUAAGUGUUUUAUCUAUUAAGCAUUUUUUAAAGUUUCACAAUGUAAUAUUUUCUUGACUUUUCAAAUCUAUGGUAUCUAGUUUUGUUCUUUAAAUGUAUUUGUAUCUAUGUAUUGUUGAUGUAAUGUCCGCCAUUAGUGUAGAUUUAAUGAAUGAUGAUAUUUUUAUUUAAAAAAUAAAAACGCUUAGUUCAAUCAACUGUUUUCUCUAGUAUGCCUAAUUAAAGAGAAUUAAUGAAUCAAUAGAUAUUUUAGUUUUAUCCAUUUUUGCAUCUAACUAUCCUCUAAUCAAUUUUACUUAUAAUUUCUCUCUAUUCUAAUAACUCCUAUCUCUUUUAAUAAAUUUGAAUUAUUUUUUAUCCAUAUAUGGUGUAACUUUUCUUAGUAUGAAUUUAAUUAUUACAUUGGUAAGUUUAUUAACUUUGAUAGAAAAUAAUAACUCAUUCAUGUAAAAAUAAAUUCUGAAAUUUUUUGCUUUGUCUUGAGUUCAAAACGAAUAUGAGUAGUACAUGAUCAUAUUCAUGAGAGAAUUUAAAUACUAUCCCAAAGAAUACCUAUUAUAUAGUAAUUUUUUUUGCGCAUUAUACUAUUUAAUGAAUAUUAUAAUACUCUAAAAUAUUUAUGUAUAAAAGUUUCUAAAACUAAUAUAGGAGUUAAAUGUUUGAAACAUAAUAAUUUUUUAAAUGUAAAUAUGACUAAUAUAUAUAAAAAAAUUGUUUAUGCCUUGUAUGGAUUCAUAACUAAUCACAAUAAAAAAUAUUUCUUCCUCGAAACAAAAAUUCUAUUCAGUUUAAAUUCUUCCACACAUCACGGCCAAACAACUCCACCACCAUGUGCCACUUACCAGAACAUUGACCAAUAGCAUGAAACUACGAAUGAUGGGAUGGAGGAAUGGGAGGUUUGGCAGCUCAAUCAUUUUUAAUCAUUGUCAAUUAUUCCAAAACAAAGUCAUCAGGCAUUUAUUCCUUCCCAUAUCUUUGUGUUUCGCAGCACCAAAUCUGGCGCCUUGGAUUAUGCAAUACUCCUCAAUCAUGAUCCCUGUAUAAGAACCUUUUCUUUACUUUUCUUUUUUUUUUUUUAAGAAAAAAAUAUGUGAAAAUUUUCAACACACAAAAAAUGAUUAACUCAUACUUUUAACAAAUUUAAAAAUUAACUCAUAUACAUUUUUUUACUACAAGCGGGUUGAAUGUAUAUCACACGUGUGAAAAGAUAGAGAUAUCAAUGUAAGUUAUGUAUCAUACCACUAUCAUGUAUUUACGCCUGUCAAUGUAUAAAACUUUUAUAUCAAUAAUAUUAAAAAAAUUAAUCCAUAAUUUAUAAGGAAAACCAUACAAAUAGUUUAUCACAUUUCCUUUAUUCCUUUUAAUUUUUUUCGCACUCAAAAUGUACUUCAUUUUGUUCUCUCACAUCUUCCAAAGUGUUGCAUAUCUGGCAAAGUCCAGUUUUUGUCUUAAAAGUACAUGAACACAUCACAUGACCAAAAUUUUGGAACAAAAAUGGAGCACUUCUUUUUCUUUUUCUUUUUCUUUUUUUAAAAAAAAAAAACUGUUUUCUAAACCCAUUGAGAAUGCUAACUUUUUUCCCUUAAUUUGCUUCUUUUUUUUCCCUUAUUAAAUGUGCAUAAAGCGAAAAGCUACAUCUCACAGAACCAACAAAAAGGCGAGGAAACAAAAGAAAAAGAGGAGAAAACGUGUAGAUGCGUUGAUGAAAAAAGAAAAGAUGAUGGAACAAAAUGUGCAGCCGAAAAAUGCACAGCUUUUUUAGAGCAUCUUAUAACAAUCAACGAGCAUUUCUUGACAGGAGAAGCAAAUUGACAGGCUACUUGUCUCCAUAAAAUCCAAAUGACUUAUGUCCGAUGAAGAAGAAAAGGCACAUGAGAGAGAGGAAUAAAAGAAAGCAAGGGAUAACGCAGCUAGACCUCGUUUGUUUUUAUCCAAAAUCCAAAAAAUGACUGUCCUUGGACAGCAAAAGUGAUUGUAAUUAGAGGGCUCUAAUUGCAUAUUCUGAUAUAAAGGAUUUAAUCUCAUGUUUCAAGGAGCUAACUAUAUAUUUUGUACAUCGCCAAUGUAAUCAAACUGCUGACUUUAUGACUAGUUAUUUCAAUAGGGUGGAUAAAGUUAUUUUUGAGUCAAAUUUUCCCCUGAUCUUCUUAGAAUUGUAGAGGAAGAUAAGAGGGAAAAGUUAACGGUUAGACUGUAAAUUCUUAUUUUUGUUAUAUAAAACUCGUCAAUUCUCCAAAAAAAAAAAUCCAAAAAAUGACCCCAAAUAGGAGUUUAACGAACCAGGCAGCCCCCCAUUUGUAUGAUAUGAACCGAGUCUGAACCGGUUCUGGAUCUUCUGUUACACUUUCAUGUGUUAUACCCCGUUACACUAUAAAUCGCGUAAUAGUUGGUAUAUCUUUUCAUUGAGUUGGUGUAAAUUAAUACUUGGUGUAAAUUGUGUUAGAGUUAUCACCAACUUGAGAAGUGUAACGAGAGGUUUAACGCCCAUUUGUGUAAUACUACAGAGUAUUGGUGGUUAUCUGAACCUAACUCGAGUAGCUUAAACACCCUUAAAUAAGCUUGAGUUCAAGAAACGAUAUGUGAGGUUUGAAAGUUAAUCGUAGUACUGUUAUUAUGCGAUGCAAGAAGUGGGAUAAUAUCAUAUGUUCUAAUCAUCUGGUUUGAUAUUUAUUCUGAUGAAUUAAUUUGGUUGCUAGUUUCAUGGAAAUAAGAAGCUCUCUAAGAAGUUAAUUAACAAGUUGUAAGACCAAUCUUUAAAUUUUGUAAUUUUAUUACUCUGUUUUCCUACAUAUGAAGUAUUCUCUUUUUAUAUGGACUAUCUCAUGGAUAAAUUUACUUAUUUGAGAAAAAAAAUUACUGGCAGCACAACUUUUGUUGUUCAAAAGCUGCAGAAACGAAAUUAUCUCUCUCUCUCUAUAUAUAUAUAUAUAAAAAGUAGGGGGUUUGAAUCAAGAACCUCAUCCUUACAAUUCUUUCCACCAUACUAUCCAAUCCAACCCAGCCCUCCCCAGUUGUAUUCUUUCAUAUGAUUUCUGUCACUAGAGCAUGAUGAAAUUAUGAUUAUUUUAUAAAAAAAAAAGCUACAAAAAAGGUUAUAAACAAGGAAUGUUGGAAAGAAUUUCAUGUAGAAAGUUACCAGGCAACUAGAAUAUAACGUCUUAGGUUUAAUUACACUCUAAAAAUGGAUUAAUCAUUGUUUUUUUUUUUUGAAUGAGGAGGAUUAAAUAUAAGAUCUUUGCAAGGGAAUGGGAAUAUAAAUACACAGACAUGAGAGAACAACAUAUUUCGCUAGAACAUUUUUUUUCCUCUAAUAGGAGAAGGGUGGAAUUUAAAAAGUGGAGAGGGCUGCACGAUUUCUAAUUCUUGGAACUUCAAUCAUUCAUUGGAACUCUUCUUUAAGAAAGACUUUGUUCUUCCACAAAUCACGGGUUGAUAACAAUAAUGUAAUUUAACUUAAUAAAUCAUUUUAUUGCCCAUCUAAGUCUCCUUUUAGCUGGCAGUAAGUAUAGGUUUAAAAGUCUAGAAUGUGACUUUUUGUGAAGAAAAUUCACUAAGUAUGCAUGUUUUUUAUAAGCUUUUAGCUCAAGCUUAUGGGGGACAACUUUGCUGCACAAUAAAUCAAGAUAGGGAUGUAAAAAUUGUUAUGCUUUAACGCAUUAUUUAAAGAUUAUUCAACAAACUUUGUGCAAAUUUUUCUUAAAGCCGACCGGAGGAAAUUGCACAACAAUUUCUGUAACAGUUAAUCCAGACAUGGAAAAGCAUUAUAUAAAACCAGCUAAGAGUACACUAGCACAGAAAAGCGCCGUAAAAAAAAAAAUAUAUAUAUUUGUUUCAACUAGUAAACGUCAUUUCUGCCCACUUUGGAUGCAUACUCAGCCCACAUAUUCGUACAUGUUACUUUUUUUUUUUUUUUUUGUUCGUGUCUAAAGAUGUAGAUAACCUAUUAAAUUAGAAUGAGGUGCCAAUCUGAAGAAGGGAUUUACACGAUUAAAGAAAGUGGACUUAGAAAGAAAAAGUAGCAGAUUUUACUGAGCUAAAAAUGUGGACUUGGAUGAAGAAUCAUGACUGUAUAUGACUAAAUUAGCAUUGCUAGCUAUAUUAAACGAAACACCAAUACGAGAUUUCAAAACGAAUAAUACGGACCCUAAUAUUAACUUCAUUCAUAAUCAUUUUUUUUUUGGUUAGAAAAUUGCUUUCUUUAGGAAAAACCGGUAUUGGAUGAGGGGAAGUGUAUUGUGGGGGUCUUUGGAAUCGAAAACCUUUUGACCUAGGAUAGUGGGGGGAGUGGGACAAAAGCUUUGGGGCCCGACAAGUCAGUCAGCACGCGGAAAACACACGACUUCCAUAAAGCGUGGCGACUUCCAAAAAGCGUGACGCAAGUGUUUUACUUCAUAAACUAAAGACGUAGCCACGCUAACAGACAGCCCAUCAACAGCAUGAUGCCCAAUCUCCUCUGGCUCAGAGUACUACUGGUCACUUUUGUUCAUCCAUAUCUAUAAAGCCAAGAAGCCAACAAUAAACGUGCAAAUCUGCUGCUUUUGGAUUUGGACCACCAAAAAAUAUGGCGAAAUGGGGGAGAAGGAGCUGGGAAAUAGAGAGAAAUUAUGAUGUUUGACCGAUUUGUGUCCAUUGCUUUACAAUUUUUGAUGCUUCAUUCAACUUAACGAGUCUUGUGACUUCUCAACCAGAAGGUUAUUUGGAGACCGACUGUGGCUCAGACUGGAAGCUUUUGGCAAAAAUCUUCCACUUCUACUCGUGAAUUAUUAUUGACAAGACAUUAUUCAACUUUGGUGGAGGGAGUUGGCAGUUGUGUCAUUCCACUACGAGUGAUUUCUAUGCAAAUCAAUUGUGGCUUAAAUCGUGCUGGCAUUAUGAUGUGGCUGGAGCCCAGACUGUAAAUUUCGAAAAUAAAAGAAUUAAAAAUGAACGGCACAGAUCAGAUCGACCUGACCUGAUUUAAUCUAAUUUGACCGUAAAUUAGACUCUGCAAUUGCUAAUCUUUGUACCGCUUCUCGGUAGCGCCCCCCUCCUCAGCUCCGUUAAAUGUAGAGGUGGUAAAUUAAUCCACCUAACUAAAUUUAUCCAUAUCCGUCCAUAAAUAGAUGUGUAUGAGUAUCUUAAAUUUUUGUAUAUGGGUAUAAAUGGGUUAUCAAACUCAAUUAACUCAUUUAGAAUUCUCUUCCUCCCAAGUCUCUUCUUUUUCCCCACCCAUUUUUUAAAAUUUUUUUCAUUCUAUCAUGAUGUUAACUACUUUUGUUUCAUUAUUAUUAUUAUUAUUAUUAUUUGUUGGUUUUAUCUUAUUAUUUUAUUUUCUCUUAGUUUGUUAACUUGCUCAUUUUUCAGCAUUACCAAUUUAUGAUAAAUUUUAGUCUAUUUUCUUAUUUUUCUAAAAUGAAAUUUUAAAUUUAUAUAUCAAAAAAUUUUAGGGGUUCAAAAUUUUUGGAUUAAGUUUUUAUAGUAAUUAGUUCAAUUUUUUAUAUUCUUAUUAUUCAAUUAUUAAAUAAUAGGUAAUUUUGUGACAUAGAGUAUAAAUGAAAAAAAAAGGUAAUUAGGCUUAUUGAACAUUAUAAGUAAAUAUUGAAAACUAAUGAUGGGUACAAAGAGCGGUAUAAAUUGAUAACUUAGUUUGCAAAAAUGAAUUUAAAUGAGUUUACAAAAGGUUAAAAUAAAUGGGUAAUUGGGUUACCCAAUUCAUUUUUUGACUUACCCAUUUAUAUCUAUCUAAUUAAAUAGGUAUAAAUGGGUUGACUCACUUAUACCCAUUACUCAUUUUAUCUAACCCAAACCCGACCAAGUCACCCAUUUUGACACCUCUAGUUAAAUGUCAAAUUGCUAAAAUCUCCUACUUCAAGAUCAAGGAGGAGGAAUUUAUGCUUCUUUCCUUAGGGAACGAGGCAUUGCUCAUUUUUUUUUUGGUGAUAAAAUAAUUGUAACUGACAAUUCUCCUUAGCCAAACAUUUUCUAAACAAUAGCCACAAAUAUUUGUUGCUGCUUCUAUUGAAUUAGCAGGCACAUUAGAUGCACAAGGUAUUAUUUUUAAGUUAGGAAAUGACAAGAUGCAAGUCCACGAACAUCCAUGGUAAAUGUCUAAAAAAAAAGAGUUGGCUUGAUCAUAGAGAACAUUUUAUCACAUUCUGAAGGCUAAAAUUAGACCUUAAAACUAAUGUUAGGCACUACUUCCAUAAUUGUCACCGUCUAGCGCAAAUUACCUUCUUGAAUUUUAUCAUUUUCAGGAUCAAUUUCGAACCCAAAAAAAAAAAAGAAAAAGAAAGAGAGACAUUUUUCCUCAAACAUGUGCCCUUUAUUGAUUUUAAACUAUUUAAAAUGAAACUACAAAUUCCCACUUUGGAAGAUAGAUUGGAAAAUUGAUGUCAAUUUUGCCAUGCUACAAAUGCCUUCAACGUGGUGAACAACAUCCACAUGCAAUUUCCCAAAGCAUGGAACAAGAAGAACUGUUUGAUGAAAAGAAAUAGACAUCCUAGAACCAACAUAAACAGCCAGCCUUUGUGCCCAAAAAAUAAAAACAGAGGGAAAAAAAACAAGAAAAUUAAAGGCCAGUGGCCCCAGUUCUCAAUGUCAAUGUUGAAAACUUUUCCUGAACAGUUUCCUUAGCCAAAUUGUUAAAGUGGACUCUUUCAGACUGCAACAAUGCAUGGCUGCUGCCUGCAGGUUGAAGCCCAAAGCAAUUCCUUCCUAAACGCCCAAAUUACCCUAAGCAUUUCAGGCCCAAAUAAAUGGAUAUAAAUUAGGUCCAAUCUACAUGUUCCCCGCUUGGAUUCUGUUCUUAUUUAGCAAAAUUAAUGUCCUUACAACCCAACUUAGUUGGUAUCGACAUUGAUCAAGUGAUCAUAAGAUUCUUAGUUUCGAUACAAGAAAUUGUAAAAUCAAUUUUUCUAAACAUUUUCUCUCAUUUUGCAUAAAACUUGUCAAGCAUGUUUUGUAAUUAGACACCUUUUAAUUAAUUUUUAAUUUGUCAAUUACACAAUAGAUGGAACACUUUACCAGAUAGCCUUUUCCGAUUGUGAUUAUCAGAGCUUUUCUUGAAAAUGAAGUUUUGAGGGUUAAUAAUUGCAACCAUCUAGCUUCUAGGAUAAAUUCGAUAAUAGAUAAUUCUACAUUGACUUGCUUGCCUUCUGCCCAACUAAUAUUUGGACAAAUUUCAAAAAUUAUAUUAAAAAAAAAAAAGGGUUGAGAGGCACUAUGAAAUCAGAAAAAGUUCAUAAACACAUUUUCAAAGUUGUCCUCAUACUUGACAUGGAGAAAGAAGAACUUCUCAUACCGGUGGAACAACAAGAGAAACCAUUACAACUUUGAUUUAGUACAACCAAGCAUAAAUCCAGAUCCUGCUAGUAAUUCUAUUCACAGUUUUACAGCUUAUAUACAAGUGCCAUCUCAUUGGAAUAAGCUCUAGCACAAUGACAAAUGCUGAUUCACAAAUUUCUAUUCUUUUCUGCUUUCAUCUGAGUAAGAUUCUGCUAAAGUCGAAUCUGUAAACUCCAGUAUUACAUCAUCAAGGUAGCUGAUACAACUACACCAUACUAGCUGUUACCUUGAUCUACAUUAGGAUGAUUAUCAGGGACACAAUCAGCAUCGUGUUCGUUUAGAUUAUUUUCCACUUCACCAGGAUCAUCAUCGGAUUCAGAUACUGAGCUAGAAUCCAGUCCUGUUUCUAGACAUUCAAGUUGCACACAUUCAGGUAGUGGAUCAUGCGGUGAAUCACGUGGAGAACUAAUACUUGAUUCACGACUCCUGGUUGUUGGUG